AUUGAACGCUGGCGGCAGGCCUAACACAUGCAAGUCGAGCGGAUGAAGGGAGCUUGCUCCUGGAUUCAGCGGCGGACGGGUGAGUAAUGCCUAGGAAUCUGCCUGGUAGUGGGGGAUAACGUCCGGAAACGGGCGCUAAUACCGCAUACGUCCUGAGGGAGAAAGUGGGGGAUCUUCGGACCUCACGCUAUCAGAUGAGCCUAGGUCGGAUUAGCUAGUUGGUGGGGUAAAGGCCUACCAAGGCGACGAUCCGUAACUGGUCUGAGAGGGUGAUCAGUCACACUGGAACUGAGACACGGUCCAGACUCCUACGGGAGGCAGCAGUGGGGAAUAUUGGACAAUGGGCGAAAACCUGAUCCAGCCAUGCCGCGUGUGUGAAGAAGGUCUUCGGAGUGUAAAGCACUUUAAGUUGGGAGGAAGGGCAGUAAGUUAAUACCUUGCUGUUUUGACGUUACCAACAGAAUAAGCACCGGCUAACUUCGUG
Molecule: ribosomal RNA, 484 nt
Filed under: uncultured bacterium
Lineage: Bacteria
Description: partial 16S ribosomal RNA
Rfam family: Bacterial small subunit ribosomal RNA
Source: RNAcentral